RNAcentral lists this ribosomal RNA (172 nucleotides) under uncultured bacterium. RNAcentral describes it as "partial 16S ribosomal RNA". It matches the Rfam family "Bacterial small subunit ribosomal RNA", at positions 355 to 524 of the family's 1533-position model. The record is from RNAcentral.
UGAGGAAUAUUGGUCAAUGGGCGCAAGCCUGAACCAGCCAUCCCGCGUGCAGGAAGACGGCGCUAUGCGUUGUAAACUGCUUUUCCAGGGGAAGAAAACUCCCGACGUGUCGGGAUUUGCCGGUACCCUGGGAAUAAGCAUCGGCUAACUCCGUGCCAGCAGCCGCGGUAAU